Molecule: signal recognition particle RNA, 299 nt
Filed under: Cebus imitator (Panamanian white-faced capuchin)
Lineage: Eukaryota; Metazoa; Chordata; Mammalia; Primates; Cebidae
Description: Metazoan signal recognition particle RNA (ENSCCAG00000001298.1)
Rfam family: Metazoan signal recognition particle RNA
About the family: The signal recognition particle (SRP) is a universally conserved ribonucleoprotein. It is involved in the co-translational targeting of proteins to membranes.
Source: RNAcentral
GCCAGGUGCAGUGGUGCAUGCCUGUAGUCCCAGCUUCUCGGGAGGCUGAGGUGGGAGGAUUACUUGAGCCCAGGAGUUCUGGGCUGUAGUGCGCUAUGCCGAUUGGGUGUCGGCACUGAGUUCAGCAUCAAUAUGGUGACCCCUCGGGAGUAGGGGACCACCAGGUUGCCUAAGGAGAGGUGAACAGGCCCAGGUUGGAAAAGGAGCAGGUCAAAACUCCUGUGCUGAUUAGUAGUGGGAUCGAGCCUGUGAAUAGCCACUGCCCUCCAGCCUGGGCAACAUAGUGAGACCCUGUCUCU